UCUUUUGCUUGCUUUUCUCACUCCAUUGGCCAGGCUGGAGGCCAGUGGCACCGUCACAGCUCCCUACAACCACCAACCCCCGAGCUCAAGCGAUGCUCCUGCCUCUGGAGUAGCUGUGAGUUCAGGCGUGAGAUGCCACGCCAGGUAGGGACCGUUAUGAAAAAAUACUGAGUGCAGCCCUCUCAGGUUUUCUUCUGAUUGUGGCUUUCCUCCAUCAGAUCUUAACCUUAAUAUUCGCAUUGAGCAAACAACAAAUAUGAAGCGUUUUAGGCAGGGAAAGGCCGAAUUUCAGUGCCUUUGUGUCAUAUCUGGAAGAAAUCAAAAGAAACGAAAACCAGAAGUUGAUUCUUUCCAAGCAUAAUAGAAGGAGACCCUAAGAACUCAACGUCUGGAAGCCACGAUGGAAACUUCUUGUGGUUAUUAUCUGACACUUUUCCAGUCUUUUGCUUUUCAAGUCCUACGCAGUAUUCUGAAGAAUGUGUAUCUCGCAUUAGUACCAAGUGUCUCCUGCUCAGAGCAGUCUCCAUGCUCCAAAAUACUGACCACUACCACCAGCAUGUUCAGGGAGCGGCUCAGAAAAUGAAAGUUGCCUCCUGAAAAUUACUACAAAAAGGCCUUUCAGGAAGGGGGUGUAGCUCAGCGGUAGAGCACAUGCUUUGCAUGUAUGAAGCCCCGGGUUCGAUCCCCGGCACCUCCAGCUGGUGAUUUUGCUCUGACAGUGUUCAAUCCUAAUUCUCAAGCAACGGACUUCUGCCUCCUAACAUUUUUCUAUCCUGUUUUCUGCUCAUAUCGAGAGUACAAAUGUGGCCCAAUGCGUUGCCUUGAACUGUCUCCAAUCUCUAUGUUGUGCGCCUCGACGUCACCUAAGGCGAUUGUGACGGCAGAAGGAAGACAAAAAAGAAAUGAGGAGGAAAAAAGAACGGGAGCCCAACGGGGUCUCUUGGACCCAAACAAGAGCCUGCACAUCCGCAGGCGGCUCGCGUUCGCUCCCAUUCUGUACUAUGAUAAAAGAGACGGAAAGACAAAGAAGAAGAAGGGAGAAAAAUGCCCCGCGGACGCUUUUUUUUUUUUUUUUUAAGUUAUUUUUGUUUUCUGGGCCGAAGAGCAGAGUGAAAGCAUCUGUCCACCGAUUUCUCCACCUGCGCAGAGAGCCAGACACAAGUGCCAUCCAGUGCUGAGACAGGGACAGCGCAGCUCUCCAGCCGCUGGAUAUGGGAGGGGAAGGACGCCGGACAAUCGACCGAAGACUGCCGGGGAAUCAGAGGCCUGCAACAUGCGAGGGGCAGAAACCAACACGGAUCAACAUCCCCUACUCAUAUUCCGUAAGACUGACUCAUAUUACCGUAUUUCCUCAGCCACUCCAUUUUCCUCGAUAAAAUAAAACAUUGCCUGGGUACUUCUGGUAACAGCAAACGGAGGCCCCACACGAAAAAGUAGGAAAAGAUUUUCUGUCACAAUGGAAAAUACGUGCAGAGUAACAGCUGGAACUCCCAAGAAAUCCUGUGCACUCAUGGUACCUUUGAAGGGUUUCCAGUGGUGUAUGGUUUCCAAGGACACCAGUAAGAAGAGGUCCACGAUAUUCCCCAACUUUAAAAUUUUCUUUGUGUCAAGGUGAAUUAUGUUGACCUCCAUUUCUCUGUCAUCCAGAGGGUGAUUCGUGUUUAUCCACUUGAGGCUAUUUUCUGCUUAGGAUUAUCCACCUAUACUUUCUAAGCAGUCCCAGCAGUCGUUAACAUGGACCAGCACAAGGGAAGCAAAUAGUAUUCUUGGCCUCCAGCCAAUUUCUAGUUGUAAAUAAAAUCAUCAAAAACCAUAGAACUGCGUGGCCCAAGUCUGAUUUCAGGUGGGAAGCUAAAAGGCUCAAGUCCUUUUCUGUUUCUUCUAACUCCUCCUAACCAGGGUGCAGAAGCCCUGCAAGCUUUCCCUAAAAGAUUUCACUGCCAGUGGUUGAUGAUUUGAUGUGUUUGGUGGUCGCUUUUUCCAUUAGAGACCUACAAACUCGGAACUUAAACCAUUUAACCACAAACACAUGGCAAAUGAUGAAAAGAUAGCGGUUACCUCCGCUGAAAUUUAGUGGAAGUAACAAGUAUUUCUCUGGGUCCUCUGAGGAACUUUCUGGUCUGAGAAGCACACUCUGAACUCCAGGGACCAAGAUCAGGAUAGGACAAAGCUCAUUUCUUUGUUUCUCAUAAAUAAAAGUAAUGAACCUUUAUUCUUCCCAUCCCAAUGGAUCCUUUUCUACCUCACUGUGCUUACUCUGCAGGAAUAACCUCCUUUAAAGCUACGGAUA
Non-coding RNA from Callithrix jacchus (white-tufted-ear marmoset), 2290 nucleotides. The record is from RefSeq and is a predicted model, not a curated record. NCBI's taxonomy places the organism in Eukaryota, Metazoa, Chordata, Mammalia, Primates, Cebidae.